CCCUUAGAUGUUCUGGGCCGCACGCGCGCUACACUGACGAAUGCAACGAGCUUAUAACCUUGGCCGAAAGGUCUGGGUAAUCUCCAAAUUUCGUCGUGAUGGGGAUAGAUUAUUGCAAUUAUUAAUCUUCAACGAGGAAUGCCUAGUAAGCGCAAGUCAUCAGCUUGCGUUGAUUACGUCCCUGCCCUUUGUACACACCGCCCGUCGCUCCUACCGAUUGAAUGGUCCGGUGAAAUCUCGGGACGGCGGCUCGGUCGCUUGCGUCCGACUGCUGAAACUUGAUUAAACCAUAUCAUUUAGAGGAAGGUGAANUCGUANCA
Molecule: ribosomal RNA, 320 nt
Filed under: uncultured eukaryote
Lineage: Eukaryota
Description: partial 18S ribosomal RNA
Rfam family: Eukaryotic small subunit ribosomal RNA
Source: RNAcentral